This 1043-nucleotide ribosomal RNA is filed under the name uncultured Basidiomycota. Its description in RNAcentral is "eukaryotic LSU rRNA". The stretch from base 609 to 1043 matches the Rfam family "Eukaryotic large subunit ribosomal RNA", at positions 1 to 429 of the family's 3401-position model. Lineage: Eukaryota; Fungi; Basidiomycota. The record is from RNAcentral.
CUUGGUCAUUUAGAGGAAGUAAAAGUCGUAACAAGGUUUCCGUAGGUGAACCUGCGGAAGGAUCAUUAAUGAACUUGUGGUUGUUGCUGGCUAGUGUCUCUAGCAUGUGCACACGCACCUUCAUCCCAUUUACACCUGUGCACCUUUUGUAGUAGGGUUCUGAAAGUGAGGGGGGUUUACCUUCUCUCUGGAUUUCCUACUACGUUUUUUAUACACACACAAUUAAGUCAUUGAAUGUUAUUUGAUUUUAUAUUGAAAAAACAACUUUCAACAACGGAUCUCUUGGCUCUCGCAUCGAUGAAGAACGUAGCGAAUUACGAUAUGUAAUGUGAAUUGCAGAAUUCAGUGAAUCAUCGAAUCUUUGAACGCAUCUUGCGCUCUCUGGUAUUCCGGAGAGCAUGCCUGUUUGAGUGUCAUGAAUCUCUCAAAUACAAAACUUGAUUGUUUUUUGUGUUUGGACUUGGAAGCUGUCGGCGCAAGUCGACUCUUCUUAAAUUCAUUAGCUGGGGUUUAUAUAGUGGAUCCUUGGUGUGAUAAUUAUCUACGCCUUGAAGUCCCUGUAGACCUUGCUUCAAACCGUCUUUACUACGAGACAAUUUUGAAUCAUCUGGCCUCAAAUCAGGUAGGACUACCCGCUGAACUUAAGCAUAUCAAUAAGCGGAGGAAAAGAAACUAACAAGGAUUCCCCUAGUAACUGCGAGUGAAGAGGGAAAAGCUCAAAUUUAAAAUCUGGUACCCUUAGGGUGCUCGAGUUGUAAUUUGGAGAGGCGUUUUCUGUGCUGGACUGUGUAAAAGUUUCUUGGAAUAGAACAUCAUAGAGGGUGAGAAUCCCGUCUUUGACACAGACUACCAGUGCUCUGUGAUACGCUUUCAAAGAGUCGCGUUGUUUGGGAAUGCAGCGCUAAAUGGGUGGUAAAUUCCAUCUAAAGCUAAAUAUUGGCGAGAGACCGAUAGCGAACAAGUACCGUGAGGGAAAGAUGAAAAGCACUUUGGAAAGAGAGUUAAACAGUACGUGAAAUUGUUGAAAGGGAAACGCUUGAAGU